This is a long non-coding RNA of Glycine soja, 636 nucleotides long. RefSeq lists it as uncharacterized. The transcript is spliced from 3 exons. NCBI's taxonomy places the organism in Eukaryota, Viridiplantae, Streptophyta, Magnoliopsida, Fabales, Fabaceae. The record is from RefSeq and is a predicted model, not a curated record.
CCUCAUUCGGUUCUCAUUCCUGUAUAGUUUAUGUCAUCUACUCAAACACUGUUUAUAUCAUUGAUUUAUUUGUAUUGCUGCUAUAUUUUUCUUCUUCUUCUUUAUUCAUUUUGGUAUAUAGGUUCUGCACAUUCUUCCAUGUUUUUAGUUGGAUAUAUUGGUUCUGCACGAUUUCUUUCACGUUAGAGGAUGACUGAUGGAAUCCAUAAAGAUCUUUGUUGCUUUGCGUCUCGGGUAUCUCUGAGCCUUAUACGAGAACAUAUACAACAUAUACAGUAAGAUAUAAUAGAUGCUACCAACAUAUGUAAGAUUUCAAAGGAGACAAUAAGGUUGCCACUUCUUUUUUCUAUCUAUCCCACCUUGACUGAUUUCGGUAACGGAUCCAAAAGCUUUGAGAUUAGGAUUUGAUGUGAAUUUGAUAGCUAUUGCAUUGCAAGCAAUUUUUGGUGUAUCCCUUCGAAUUAUUGUUCAUAUAUGGGUCAUGAGUAAGAAGGGCCCUCUCUAUGUUGCAAUGUUCAAGCCAAUUGGAAUCAUCUUUGCAGUCAUCAUGGGAAUUGGCUUUCUUGGUGGCUCUAUCUAUCUUGGAAGGUAUAUGUUGUUAGAAAAAUAAAAUAAAAAAUGAAAGAAAAAUAAAUA